Vicugna pacos (alpaca) is the source of this 1275-nucleotide non-coding RNA. NCBI's taxonomy places the organism in Eukaryota, Metazoa, Chordata, Mammalia, Artiodactyla, Camelidae. The record is from RefSeq and is a predicted model, not a curated record.
UUGUGGGGCAGAGACUGGGGAGCAAAGAGAGGAGUCAGAGGUGGAGGACGUAGUGGGUGCCAAAGGGAAGCUGCCUCCUGCCCGUCUCAGGCUGUAUGAGCUAGAUCAUUUUAAGGAACAGGACCCAUAGUUCCUGUUUAAAUCCUUCCAUUUGCAAUCUUAAAAAAAAAAAAGACUAUUCAUUGUGGGUAAGAACUCUGUGCCCUGCCCCCUCACCACACGUGAAUUCCGGCCAUUCGAUUGCUUCACAAAUUCUGGGAACGUCCUAUUACCACCCACCUCAUCCCCACUCACUCCACCCAACCCCACCACCCAGUGUCCUUAGGGCAGACAUUCCCAGACUGAAGUGCAGCUGAGGGAGCAGAAUAAACCUUAGAGAGAACUUGGCCUUCCAGAACUGGCCACUGGUGGUGUGUGGCCCAUUCAUGGACAUGUGACCAUACCAAAAAGAAGAAAGUUGUCCCCUCCUUGUCAUUCUGAAAGAUUGAGAACUCGGAGUCCUAUCUUCAUUAUCGCACAGGAAGCUAAGAAUUUCUUAAUCAGGACCUUGAACCUUGAACUCAUAAAGACUCUAAGAGCUCCAGACACAAAGACUGCUUGACACAGUCCUGUGAAACCAGAAUGCAGAAACCAAGGUUAAGUUCAGAAGUACUGGGAUUUACUAAAAAGCCACCAGAGGCUUGGAGAGAAGGCUUGGAUAGAAUAAUGGCUACCAUCUGUUGAGCCAUUACUAAGUGGUAGUCACAGAGGAACAUCCUAGUCCAUUCCAACUCUGCAAGGUGUUACCAGGAACAUCCAGAAGGCACCAUCCAGAACCCUCCAUACCUUCAGGGCACACCCCCAGGGUUUAGUUCUCUAAUCCAACUCGUGCAGCCCUGGGAAGCUUCUCACAGACAAGUUCUGGUGAUACCAGCAGUGUUUGCGCUGCCGGGGACGGGACCUGCUGGGAGCAAGGCAGCAGUGGAGGCAGGGGCAGCCCCGGCCAGUGCCUGUGUUUCCCCGACUCUCAGUGGGAAAACCGUCCAACCAGGCCUGUACGUGGUCGGGUGGGCAGAGCAGGCUUCCAAGGAGAGGAUCUCUCUCGGGGAGUCAGCAUGAAGGUUGAAGGUCGAAGGGUGGCCACAUGAAGACUUGGCAGAGCAACUCAUCUGUUUUCGCUAAUGAGCAAGGAGGCCUGCCCAUGGGGAUUUCCCAGCCAUGUUCAAGUGGAAGCCAAAUCAACCUACAUCGAGAGUUCUGAAACUCCAGGUAGGUAUCAGAACCACGUGGAGAGCA